ACGGGUGAGUAACACGUGGGAACGUACCCUUCGGUUCGGAAUAACUCAGGGAAACUUGAGCUAAUACCGGAUACGCCCUUUUGGGGAAAGGUUUACUGCCGAAGGAUCGGCCCGCGUCUGAUUAGCUUGUUGGUGGGGUAACGGCCUACCAAGGCGACGAUCAGUAGCUGGUCUGAGAGGAUGAUCAGCCACACUGGGACUGAGACACGGCCCAGACUCCUACGGGAGGCAGCAGUGGGGAAUAUUGGACAAUGGGCGCAAGCCUGAUCCAGCCAUGCCGCGUGAGUGAUGAAGGCCUUAGGGUUGUAAAGCUCUUUUGUCCGGGACGAUAAUGACGGUACCGGAAGAGUAAGCCCCGGCUAACUUCGUGCCAGCAGCCGCGGUAAUACGAAGGGGGCUAGCGUUGCUCGGAAUCACUGGGCGUAAAGGGCGCGUAGGCGGCCGAUUAAGUCGGGGGUGAAAGCCUGUGGCUCAACCACAGAAUUGCCUUCGAUACUGGUUGGCUUGAGACCGGAAGAGGACAGCGGAACUGCGAGU
RNAcentral lists this ribosomal RNA (537 nucleotides) under uncultured bacterium. RNAcentral's name for it is "bacterial SSU rRNA". It matches the Rfam family "Bacterial small subunit ribosomal RNA", at positions 102 to 674 of the family's 1533-position model. The record is from RNAcentral.